AUCAAAUGGAGAGUUUGAUCCUGGCUCAGGAUGAACGCUGGCGGCAUGCCUAAUACAUGCAAGUCGAACGAAGUUUCUAGGAAGCUUGCUUCCAAAGAGACUUAGUGGCGAACGGGUGAGUAACACGUAGGUAACCUGCCCAUGUGCCCGGGAUAACUGCUGGAAACGGUAGCUAAAACCGGAUAGGUAUGAGGGAGGCAUCUUCCUCAUAUUAAAGCACCUUCGGGUGUGAACAUGGAUGGACCUGCGGCGCAUUAGCUGGUUGGUGAGGUAACGGCCCACCAAGGCGAUGAUGCGUAGCCGACCUGAGAGGGUGAACGGCCACAUUGGGACUGAGACACGGCCCAAACUCCUACGGGAGGCAGCAGUAGGGAAUUUUCGUCAAUGGGGGGAACCCUGAACGAGCAAUGCCGCGUGUGUGAAGAAGGUCUUCGGAUCGUAAAGCACUGUUGUAAGUGAAGAAUGCCACAUAGAGGAAAUGCUAUGUGGGUGACGGUAGCUUACCAGAAAGCCACGGCUAACUACGUGCCAGCAGCCGCGGUAAUACGUAGGUGGCAAGCGUUAUCCGGAAUCAUUGGGCGUAAAGGGUGCGUAGGUGGCACGAUAAGUCUGAAGUAAAAGGCAACAGCUCAACUGUUGUAUGCUUUGGAAACUGUCGAGCUAGAGUGCAGAAGAGGGCGAUGGAAUUCCAUGUGUAGCGGUAAAAUGCGUAGAUAUAUGGAGGAACACCAGUGGCGAAGGCGGUCGCCUGGUCUGUAACUGACACUGAUGCACGAAAGCGUGGGGAGCAAAUAGGAUUAGAUACCCUAGUAGUCCACGCCGUAAACGAUGAGAACUAAGUGUUGGAGAGAUUCAGUGCUGCAGUUAACGCAAUAAGUUCUCCGCCUGGGGAGUAUGCACGCAAGUGUGAAACUCAAAGGAAUUGACGGGGGCCCGCACAAGCGGUGGAGUAUGUGGUUUAAUUCGAAGCAACGCGAAGAACCUUACCAGGCCUUGACAUGGAUAUAAAUGUUCUAGAGAUAGAAAGAUAGCUAUAUAUCACACAGGUGGUGCAUGGUUGUCGUCAGCUCGUGUCGUGAGAUGUUGGGUUAAGUCCCGCAACGAGCGCAACCCUUGUCUUCUGUUACCAGCAUUAGGUUGGGGACUCAGGAGAGACUGCCGGUGACAAACCGGAGGAAGGUGGGGAUGACGUCAAAUCAUCAUGCCCCUUAUGGCCUGGGCUACACACGUACUACAAUGGCGCCUACAAAGAGCAGCGACACCGCGAGGUGGAGCGAAUCUCAUAAAGGGCGUCUCAGUUCGGAUUGAAGUCUGCAACUCGACUUCAUGAAGUCGGAAUCGCUAGUAAUCGCAGAUCAGCAUGCUGCGGUGAAUACGUUCUCGGGCCUUGUACACACCGCCCGUCAAACCAUGGGAGUUGGUAAUACCCGAAGCCGGUGGCAUAACCGCAAGGAGUGAGCCGUCGAAGGUAGGACCGAUGACUGGGGUUAAGUCGUAACAAGGUAUCCCUACGGGAACGUGGGGAUGGAUCACCUCCUUUCUAAGGAGAAAGUACAAAGAAGCAGAUAUUUCCUGUUCGGUUUUGGAAGACCGAAAGAAUCUUCCAAGA
This 1609-nucleotide ribosomal RNA is filed under the name Longicatena caecimuris. RNAcentral describes it as "bacterial SSU rRNA". It matches the Rfam family "Bacterial small subunit ribosomal RNA". The record is from RNAcentral. Lineage: Bacteria; Bacillati; Bacillota; Erysipelotrichia; Erysipelotrichales; Erysipelotrichaceae.